Molecule: long non-coding RNA, 640 nt
Filed under: Homo sapiens (human)
Lineage: Eukaryota; Metazoa; Chordata; Mammalia; Primates; Hominidae
Description: HSALNT0348805
Source: RNAcentral
AGCAAGGUAUAAAGCAGCCCCUGGAAACCAGGCUCAUCCUACUUACCCAGCCCCAUAGCUUGCUGCUCUCCACAAAGCCAGAUCCAGUCCUCAAACACAUCAUAGCCAUUCACAGUGCCACGUCAUGACACACACACAGGUUGCUUAUGAUGUCCUGACUCCUUCUGCUCCUGGCAAAUUGCUGCCUCUCCAUUAGGAGCCAUUCAGAUGCCCACCUCUGAUACAGCCUUAUCUACUUUGACUCUCUUCCCCACUCCUCAGCCACAACUCUAAUAAAAUGACAGUAAAGGAAUGUAAAAAUUUACACACAUAAAAGAGGAUGAAGAAGAGAUAACAUGAGAAGAGAGAUAUCAACAAAAUUUCAGAAAAUGGAAAGCAGUUUCACACGUCAUUGGAUCUAUAGAGUGGAGCAAAACUGAAAUUAACCAUCUGCAGCGAUUGAAGUCAAUGAUUUGGCCUUCAAAAGCCAGAAAAAGCUCAGGAACUAGAGGCACCAGAUACCUCUGAAAAUAAAGAAUUGGAAAAGCAAGGAAAGGAUGCUCCCCUAGAGUCCCCAGAGGGAACCAGCCCUGCCUACAUAUUGAUUUCAGCUCAGUGCGUCUGUUUAGACUUCUGACGCCCAGAAUGGUAAGAUAGUAAA